UCCCUGGUGGCUCAGAUGAUAAAGAAUCCGCCUGCAAUGUGGGAGACCCAGGUUCAAUUCCUGGAUCGGGAA
RNAcentral lists this transfer RNA (72 nucleotides) under Capra hircus (goat). It matches the Rfam family "tRNA". Rfam says of the family: Transfer RNA (tRNA) molecules are approximately 80 nucleotides in length. Their secondary structure includes four short double-helical elements and three loops (D, anti-codon, and T loops). Further hydrogen bonds mediate the characteristic L-shaped molecular structure. tRNAs have two regions of fundamental functional importance: the anti-codon, which is responsible for specific mRNA codon recognition, and the 3' end, to which the tRNAs corresponding amino acid is attached (by aminoacyl-tRNA synthetases). tRNAs cope with the degeneracy of the genetic code in two manners: having more than one tRNA (with a specific anti-codon) for a particular amino acid; and 'wobble' base-pairing, i.e. permitting non-standard base-pairing at the 3rd anti-codon position. Lineage: Eukaryota; Metazoa; Chordata; Mammalia; Artiodactyla; Bovidae. The record is from Rfam by way of RNAcentral. RNAcentral also lists the same sequence under 1 other name.